Molecule: long non-coding RNA, 277 nt
Organism: Strongylocentrotus purpuratus (purple sea urchin)
Lineage: Eukaryota; Metazoa; Echinodermata; Echinoidea; Camarodonta; Strongylocentrotidae
Exons: 2
Source: RefSeq, a predicted model, not a curated record
GCACCCCGGAGAUUUAGUUUCGGCUGCGCUAGCCGGUGGCCGUUUCUACCCGUUUCUGAUGACGUCAUAACGUGUAGGUUAUUUGGCCACUCGGUAUAGCAGCUGGUUCUUCGCAUGGUGGUCGAUUGCAGUUAUCAGCAUGUCAAAACGGAGUAACACAGAUGAGGAAGGUGAGCCCAGCAAGAAGCCGAAGCCUGUUGGGGGAAACCGGUGUGUCUUGUAUGGGUGCAGCAACACUAUUCAUGAUGGCUUUGCCAUACAUGAACUACCGAAGGAA